Molecule: transfer RNA, 73 nt
Filed under: Trichonephila inaurata madagascariensis
Lineage: Eukaryota; Metazoa; Arthropoda; Arachnida; Araneae; Nephilidae
Rfam family: tRNA
About the family: Transfer RNA (tRNA) molecules are approximately 80 nucleotides in length. Their secondary structure includes four short double-helical elements and three loops (D, anti-codon, and T loops).
Source: Rfam by way of RNAcentral
GGGGGUGUAGCUCAGAUGGUCGAGCGCUCGCUUAGCAUGCGAAAGGUACGGGAAUUGAUAUCCCGUGCCUCCA